CAUAGUUUAGUGAAUUUAUCACUCAGGUAUUUAAACCUGAUUACAGGAGCACUUAUUUUCCUGAGCUCUGA
Non-coding RNA from Lingula anatina, 71 nucleotides. NCBI's taxonomy places the organism in Eukaryota, Metazoa, Brachiopoda, Lingulata, Lingulida, Lingulidae. The record is from the annotation of a RefSeq genome assembly.